UUGGACUUCAGGGGUACUUGAAGGUUCAGCUGGGCCUCCGGUGGGCUUACAGAAUUUCCAGCUUCCUUAAGGAUCUCUGGAGGCUGAGAUAGAG
This 94-nucleotide microRNA precursor is filed under the name Canis lupus familiaris (dog). Its description in RNAcentral is "miRNA (ENSCAFG00845020593.1)". Lineage: Eukaryota; Metazoa; Chordata; Mammalia; Carnivora; Canidae. The record is from RNAcentral.